RNAcentral lists this long non-coding RNA (1135 nucleotides) under Cricetulus griseus (Chinese hamster). RNAcentral's name for it is "lncRNA (ENSCGRG00015032906.1)". Lineage: Eukaryota; Metazoa; Chordata; Mammalia; Rodentia; Cricetidae. The record is from RNAcentral.
CCAGUCUCGAGAGAAAGAGGCAGAGAGAAGAGAGGAGGGGCAGAGAGAGCCAAAUUUUGCUGGCUUUGUUGUGGCCUCCUUCUGCCCCCUGUCAAGACUGGAGUCACUGAUCCCAGAUCUUCAGGAAUGUUUAUAAUGUCAGACAGACCGCCAGAUCCGGACAGUGACCCAAAGUCUCCAAAGAAGAUUACGAGGCACCUCAGUUCCUGCACCUGGACCAGUGAGAGAGAUGCUCAGAUGUGAUACCUGCCGCCUGCCAGAACCUGGCCGAGACUGUGGACAAAGCUGCUGGACACUGGAAAAUUGAUUACACCCCUUUGCCUAGACAAAACAAGGCUGUUCUAAGUAGACUGCGAGCCCUGGACUUGCUGUGGAUGUGAACCAGUCAGCUGAUGUGGACACCCCCUGUCUCUGCAACAGUGUCUGCUAACCAGAAGCCCCUGAUGGAUUCCCCAUUGCCUAAAUUCCUUUUUGCUUUUGACUAGCAUUUCAACCUUCUGGGGUCCCUAACUUCGUCCCAAAGUCAGCAGGAAGCAGUUUGGAAAAGAAUUUCGCCGUCCAUUUUCCCUGGUUAAAAUGCUAAGUCAAAGGGAAUUCCCUUGCAUGGGGAUGCCAGUACCUAUCACUCCCUGAUGGGGAUACUAGAGAGACAGCAAUUCCAUGAUUGGAAUUUCCAAAAAAGAAAAUGGGGGAAUGAAGGAACCGGCUUCCCUUUUGGCAGCCAUAAUGGUCGAACAUGUGCUUCUAUGACCUUGACCUAGACACUAGAAAGUCAGAUGCCUGUCUCGUGACAAGGAACCAAUCAGAAGUUAGCUGGUGACGCUAUGCUUUAUGGCUCUGGGUGUGCUUUACGGACAAGCACACAGCAAUGACGUAGAGAGCAUAGCAACCACCCUGGGAGGGCCUAUGAGCCAUAACAACCAGUUGACCAAUCAACACAGGGCAAGCCCUCCAAGCCUGGAGGCACACCAAUCAUAAGCCUGUGCGUACCCCUAGACACUCCCCUUACGCUGCCCUAUAAGAUCUUUUGGGAGACCCAAGGAGCCGUCUUUUUCUAGCCGUCUGCCAUGGCGGGUGGGUGAAAGACCCGAGCUAACAUGGGGUUAGCUCGUAAAAUUACAAUAAAGCCUCAUGC